GAUGAACGCUGGCGGCGUGCCUAACACAUGCAAGUCGAGCGGGAUUUUGUUAAAUGAAGCUUCGGUAGAUUUUUAACAAAUGAGAGCGGCGGACGGGUGAGUAACGCGUAGGCAACCUGCCCUUUGCAGAGGGAUAGCCAUUGGAAACGAUGAUUAAAAACCUCAUAAUACUACGAAAGUGACAUCACAUUGUAGUCAAAGAUUUAUCGGCAAAGGAUGGGCCUGCGUCUGAUUAGCUAGUUGGUGGGGUAACGGCCUACCAAGGCGACGAUCAGUAGCCGACCUGAGAGGGUGAUCGGCCACAUUGGAACUGAGACACGGUCCAA
This 326-nucleotide ribosomal RNA is filed under the name uncultured bacterium. RNAcentral describes it as "bacterial SSU rRNA". It matches the Rfam family "Bacterial small subunit ribosomal RNA", at positions 28 to 334 of the family's 1533-position model. The record is from RNAcentral.